UUUCCGGUUGAUCCUGCCGGAGGCCACUGCUAUUGGGGUUCGGCUAAGCCAUGCGAGCGGAGGGCGCGGUCGCAAGAUCGUGGCCCCGCACACGGCUCAGUAACACGUAGUCAAUCUGCCCUCGAGUCUGGGACAACCUCGGGAAACUGAGGACAAUCCCGGAUAGGCGAUGGACGCUGGAAUGCCUCAUCGCCCAAAGCUCCGGCGCUCGAGGAUGGGACUGCGGCCUAUCAGGCUGUUGGUGGUGUAACGGACCACCAAACCUACGACGGGUAUGGGCAAUGGGAGUUGGAGCCCAGAGAUGGGGACUGAGACAAGGCCCCAGGCCCUACGGGGCGCAGCAGGCGCGAAAACUCCGCAAUGCGCGAAAGCGUGACGGGGGGACCCCAARUGCCGUUGGUCUUUUGAUCGACGGCUUUUAGGAAGUCUAAGAAGCUUCCAGAAUAAGGGCUGGGCAAGACUGGUGCCAGCCGCCGCGGUAAUACCAGCUGCCCAAGUGGUGGUCGCGUUUAUUGGGCCUAAAGCGCUCGUAGCCGGGCUUGCGAGUCCCUUGUGAAAUCGGACGGCUCAACCGUUCGGCGUGCAAGGGAUACUGCUAGCCUUGGGAUCGGGAGAGGUCGGGGGUACUUCAGGGGUAGCGGUGAAAUGCUUAUUCCCUGGAGGACCACCAGUGGCGAAGGCGCCCGACCAUAACGGAUCCGACGGUGAGGGGCGAAGGCUAGGGGAGCGAACGGGAUUAGAUACCCCGGUAGUCCUAGCAGUAAAGGAUGCGGGCUGGGUGUCAGGCGCCCUUUUAGAGCGCCUAGUGCCGUAGGGAAGCCGUUAAGCCCGCCGCCUGGGAAGUACGGUCGCAAGGCUGAAACUUAAAGGAAUUGGCG
This 878-nucleotide ribosomal RNA is filed under the name uncultured archaeon. RNAcentral describes it as "bacterial SSU rRNA". It matches the Rfam family "Archaeal small subunit ribosomal RNA", at positions 1 to 870 of the family's 1478-position model. The record is from RNAcentral.